This 468-nucleotide ribosomal RNA is filed under the name uncultured bacterium. Its description in RNAcentral is "partial 16S ribosomal RNA". It matches the Rfam family "Bacterial small subunit ribosomal RNA", at positions 28 to 507 of the family's 1533-position model. The record is from RNAcentral.
GACGAACGCUGGCGGCGUGCUUAACACAUGCAAGUCGAACGGAAAGGCCCUGCUUUUGUGGGGUGCUCGAGUGGCGAACGGGUGCGUAACACGUGAGUAACCUGCCCUUGACUUUGGGAUAACUUCAGGAAACUGGGGCUAAUACCGGAUAGGAGCCCCUGCUGCAUGGUGGGGGUUGGAAAGUUUCGGAGGUCGGGGAUGGACUCGCGGCCUAUCAGCUUGUUGGUGGGGUAGUGGCUUACCAAGGCUUUGACGGGUAGCCGGCCUGAGAGGGUGACCGGCCACAGUGUGACUGAGAUGCGGCCCGGACUCCUACGGGAGGCAGCAGUGGGGAAUAUUGCACAAUGGGCGGAAGCCUGAUGCAGCAACGCCGCGUGCGGGAUGACGGCCUUCGGGUUGUAAACCGCUUUCGCCUGUGACGAAGCGUGAGUGACGGUAAUGGGUAAAGAAGCACCGGCUAACUACGUG